This 476-nucleotide ribosomal RNA is filed under the name uncultured bacterium. Its description in RNAcentral is "bacterial SSU rRNA". It matches the Rfam family "Bacterial small subunit ribosomal RNA", at positions 28 to 526 of the family's 1533-position model. The record is from RNAcentral.
AACGAACGCUGGCGGCGCGCUUAACACAUGCAAGUCGAACGGGCAUGGGGGCUUCGGCCUCGAUGUCAGUGGCGGACGGGUGAGUAACGCGUGGGAACCUGCCCCAAGGUCUGGGACAACCGCGGGAAACUGCGGCUAAUACCGGAUGAACCCCCGGGCUUGACCCGGGGGCAAAGCUUGAUGUGCCUUGGGAUGGGCCCGCGUCCGAUUAGCUAGUUGGUGGGGUAAUGGCCUACCAAGGCAUCGAUCGGUAGCUGGUCUGAGAGGACGAUCAGCCACACUGGGACUGAGACACGGCCCAGACUCCUACGGGAGGCAGCAGUGGGGAAUCUUGGACAAUGGGCGCAAGCCUGAUCCAGCGACGCCGCGUGGGUGAUGAAGGCCUUCGGGUUGUAAAGCCCUUUCACCGGGGACGAUGAUGACGGUACCCGGCGAAGAAGCACCGGCUAACUCCGUGCCAGCAGCCGCCGUAAAAC